AGGCGACAUAGCCAAGUGGUAAGGCAGUGGACUGCAACUCCUUGAUCUCCAGUUCGAAUCUGGAUGUCGCCUCCAA
This 76-nucleotide transfer RNA is filed under the name Peptostreptococcus stomatis DSM 17678. RNAcentral describes it as "tRNA-Cys". It matches the Rfam family "tRNA". Rfam says of the family: Transfer RNA (tRNA) molecules are approximately 80 nucleotides in length. Lineage: Bacteria; Bacillati; Bacillota; Clostridia; Peptostreptococcales; Peptostreptococcaceae. The record is from RNAcentral.